GUGAAUCAUCGAAUCUUUGAACGCAAAUUGCACUCUCUUCGGAGAGUAUGCCUGUCUGAGGGUCAGUAUUAAUAAAAAUCGGUGUGUUGCUUCUUUGUGACGAUUCGGAGUUUGGGUCUUCUUAAUAUCUUUUAGUUUUUUAGUGGCUUACAAUUGACUUUGUUUGCGCAUUUUAGAUGUAGUUAAAUUUUUUUUUUUUAUUGUUCUGUCUUAUUGCUCAGAAUCCUAUUCGUUGCGACUAUGUUGUGUGG
Molecule: unclassified non-coding RNA, 251 nt
Filed under: Glomeromycetes sp.
Lineage: Eukaryota; Fungi; Glomeromycota; Glomeromycetes
Description: partial contains 5.8S ribosomal RNA and internal transcribed spacer 2
Rfam family: 5.8S ribosomal RNA (bases 1-65)
Source: RNAcentral